CCCAGGAGCAGCUCAAGGAGCAGGGAGAUGGAGAUAGAGAAUUUAAACCUUGCUCACAAGACUCCUCAGAACCUCUCAAAGAAGAAAGUGAUGACCUAUCACGAAUAAAGAAAUAACUGCUUGAAGACAGCCUAAGGGAAAAUGGGGAUAAGACUCCUCGGAGACUGACAGAAUGCCUACCCUGCCGUUUAUUGUGACCUCCCCCAGCCCACUGUUCUCAAGAAUAUCAGUCAGCAACCUGAUCCGCCCACCUUCUGAAGAGCAAGAAGAACCAGUUUCCAGCCUUCAGAGGAGGGACUUGACCUGCCUUUGUAUCUUGGGAGAGAGGGAUUAAAGAUGGAGAGCUGA
Apodemus sylvaticus (European woodmouse) is the source of this 348-nucleotide long non-coding RNA. RefSeq lists it as uncharacterized. The record is from RefSeq and is a predicted model, not a curated record. NCBI's taxonomy places the organism in Eukaryota, Metazoa, Chordata, Mammalia, Rodentia, Muridae. The transcript has 2 exons.